Long non-coding RNA from Dermochelys coriacea (leatherback sea turtle), 1759 nucleotides. RefSeq lists it as uncharacterized. The record is from RefSeq and is a predicted model, not a curated record. The transcript has 3 exons. Lineage: Eukaryota; Metazoa; Chordata; Testudines; Dermochelyidae.
GGAUGUGAGAGCAGGGUCCCGGUCCCCGGUGGUACUGGAUCCCCCCUAGCUUGGUCUGUAUCAGCACCGGGCUGGGUGAGCUGGGUCCCGGUCCCUAGUGGUACCAGAUCCCCCCUAGCUGGGUCUGUAUCAGCACCGGGCUGGAUGAGCAGGGUCCUGGUCCCCAGUGGUACCGGAUCCCCCCUAGCUGGGUCUGUAUCAGCACCGGGCUGGAUGAGCAGGGUCCUGGUCCCCAAUGGUACCAGAUCCCCCCUAGCUUGGUCUGUAUCAGCACCAGACGGGGUGAGCAGGGUCCCGGUCCCCAGUGGUACCGGAUCCCCCCUAGCGGGGUCUGUAUCAGCACUGGGCUGAGUGAGCAGGGUCCUGGUCCCCGGUGGUACUGGAUCCCCCCUAGCUUGGUCUGUAUCAGCACCAGGCUGAGUGAGCAGGGUCCUGGUUCUCGGCGGUACCGGAUCCCCCUAGCUUGGUCUGUAUCAGCACCAGACGGGGUGAGCAGGGUCCCGGUCCCCGGUGGUACCAGAUCCCCCCUAGCUGGGUCUGUAUCAGCACUGGGCUGAGUGAGCAGGGUCCUGGUCCCCGGUGGUACCGGUUCCCCCAUAACUUGGUCUGUAUCAGCACCAGGCUGAGUGAGCAGGGUCCUGGUUCUCGGCGGUACCGGAUCCCCCUAGCUUGGUCUGUAUCAGCACCGGGCUGGGUGAGCAGGGUCGUGGUCCCUAGUGGUACCGUAUCCCCUCUAGCUGGGUCUGUAUCAGCACCGGGCUGGAUGAGCAGGCUCCUGGUCCCCAAUGGUACCGGAUCCCCCCUAGCUUGGUCUGUAUCAGCACCGGACGGGGUGAGCAGGGUCCCGGUCCCCGGUGGUACCAGAUCCCCUCUAGCUGGGUCUGUAUCAGCACUGGGCUGAGUGAGCAGGGUCCUGGUCUCCGGUGGUACUGGAUCCCCCCUAGCUUGGUCUGUAUCAGCACCAGGCUGGAUGAGCUGGGCCCGGUCCCCGGUGGUACCGGAUCCCCCCUAGCUGGGUCUGUAUCAGCACCGGGCUGGGUGAGCAGGGUCCUGGUCCCUAGUGGUACCGGAUCCCCCCUACCUGGGUCUGUAUCAGCACCGGGCUGGGUGAGCUGGGUCCCGAUCCCCGGUGGUACUGGAUCCCCCCUAGCUUGGUCUGUAUCAGCACCAGGCUGAGUGAGCAGGGUCCUGGUUCUCGGCGGUACCGGAUCCCCCUAGCUUGGUCUGUAUCAGCACCGGGCUGGGUGAGCAGGGUUGUGGUCCCUAGUGGUACCGUAUCCCCUCUAGCUGGGUCUGUAUCAGCACCGGGCUGGAUGAGCAGGGUCCUGGUCCCCAAUGGUACCGGAUCCCCCCUAGCUUGGUCUGUAUCAGCACCGGACAGGGUGAGCAGGGUCCCGGUCCCCGGUGGUACCAGAUCCCCCCUACCUGGGUCUGUAUCAGCACUGGGCUGUGUGAGCAGGGUCCCGGUCCCCGGUGGUACCGGUUCCCCCAUAACUUGGUCUGUAUCAGCACAGGGCUGGGUGAGCAGGGUCCUGGUCCCCAAUGGUACCAGAUCCCCCCUAGCUUGGUCUGUAUCAGCACCAGACGGGGUGAGCAGGGUCCCGGUCCCCGGUGGUACCGGAUCCCCCCUAGCUGGGUCUGUAUCAGCACUGGGCUGAGUGAGCAGGGUCCUGGUCCCCGGUGGUACCGGUUCCCCCAUAACUUGGUCUGUAUCAGCACCAGGCUGAUAUGGGGGUCAGGACCCCAUGGUACCAGCUCC